GAUCAUGGCUCAGGAUGAACGCUAGCUACAGGCUUAACACAUGCAAGUCGAGGGGCAGCAUGGUCUUAGCUUGCUAAGGCCGAUGGCGACCGGCGCACGGGUGAGUAACACGUAUCCAACCUGCCGUCUACUCGUUGGACAGCCUUCUAGAAAAGGAAGAUUAAUACAAGAUGGCAUCAUGAGUCCGCAUGUUCACAUGAUUAAAGGUAUUCCGGUAGACGAUGGGGA
This 228-nucleotide ribosomal RNA is filed under the name uncultured bacterium. Its description in RNAcentral is "partial 16S ribosomal RNA". It matches the Rfam family "Bacterial small subunit ribosomal RNA", at positions 15 to 231 of the family's 1533-position model. The record is from RNAcentral.